AGCGUAGACGGAGUGGCAAGUCUGAUGUGAAAACCCGGGGCUCAACCCCGGGACUGCAUUGGAAACUGUCAAUCUGGAGUACCGGAGAGGUAAGCGGAAUUCCUAGUGUAGCGGUGAAAUGCGUAGAUAUUAGGAGGAACACCAGUGGCGAAGGCGGCUUACUGGACGGUAACUGACGUUGAGGCUUGAAAGCGUGGGGAGCAAACG
This 207-nucleotide ribosomal RNA is filed under the name uncultured bacterium. RNAcentral describes it as "partial 16S ribosomal RNA". It matches the Rfam family "Bacterial small subunit ribosomal RNA", at positions 568 to 774 of the family's 1533-position model. The record is from RNAcentral.